GCCUAAAUCUAAGCUAAACAGCACUACAAAAUAACCCCCAAAACAAAGCCAAACCAUUUGUACUAAGCUAGUAAAUGAGAUUAAACACUAUCUAAGCCUUCCGGUACCGCAAGGGAGUGGUGAAAGAACAAUGAAAAACUCAAGCAUAGUACAGCAAAGAUAGACCCUUGUACCUCUUGCAUCAUGGUCUAGUCAAACAACUUCAAACAAAGAGAACUUUAGCCUCCCUACCCGAAACCAAACGAGCUAUUUCUGGCCAGCUUUUCACUAGAGCGCACCCAUCCCUGUAGCAAAAGGGUGGGAAGAUACAGAAAUAGAGGCAAAACGCCUACCGAGCUUGGUGAUAGCUGGCUACUCAACAAAAGAACCUAAGUUCAACCCUAGACUUCACCAAUCAGGAUCACCAAAGCCCUGAACAAACCUCUGCCCCAGUCUAAGGAAACUCAAUGGGGGUACAGCCCCAUUGACCCGGGAUACAACCCGAACUGCGAGAAACUGAUUAUAAAUCUCAAGUGGGCCUCAAAGCAGCCUCCAAAAAAUGCGUUAAAGCUUUUUCUAACACUAAUUCUUCUAAUUAAACAACUCUCCUGGACCCGAUCGAGUUAUUUUAUAAACAAAUAAAAACACCCAUGCUAGAACUAGUAAUGAGAAAAUUUUCUCUUCGCAUAGCCUUAAACCAGAAUCGAAAAACCACUGGCAAUUAACAGACCAUAAACGGAUUGACACAUACACCCACUGGUCCCUAUGUCACCUCCCUAUCUGUUACCCCAACACAGGCAUGCAAAAAAGAAAGGCUAAAACCCACAAAAGGAACUCGGCAAUAGUAUAGUCCCAACUGUUUACCAAAAACAUAGCCUUUAGCCCAACAAGUAUUAAAGGUCCCGCCUGCCCAGUGACUAUUCAACGGCCGCGGUAUCCUAACCGUGCAAAGGUAGCAUAAUCACUUGUCCCCUAAAUAGGGACUAGAAUGAACGGCUAAAUGAGGACUUAACUGUCUCUUGUAGAAGGCCAAUGAAACUGAUCUUUCAGUCCAAAAGCUGAAAUACUGUCAUAAGACGAGAAGACCCUGUGGAGCUUUAAACCUUGACCACCAAACAUGUUCCCUCUUGGUUUUUAGUUGGGGCGACUUCGGAGUAUAAAACAACCUCCGAUAAAACACUAUGUCAAGAUUUACAUAUCGAAACACCCACUUGACCCAGUAGUUCUAGCCAAACUAUCUGAUCUACGAACCAAGUUACCCCAGGGAUAACAGCGCUAUCCCCUUCUAGAGUCCAUAUCGACAAGGGGGCUUACGACCUCGAUGUUGGAUCAGGAAAUCCUAAUAGUGCAACCGCUAUUAAGGGUUCGUUUGUUCAACGAUUAAUAUUCCUACGUGAUCUGAGUUCAGACCGGAGCAAUCCAGGUCGGUUUCUAUCUAUGUGGGACUGUCCCCAGUACGAAAGGAUCGGGAUAGUAAGAUUAAUGCCAAAAGCACAUCCUACCAAAAUUUGCUGAUUUUCUUCUAAAGCGAUUACUGGCCCACCCAGUAACCCUAAAUAAGGGGUUGUUAAGGUGGCAGAGCCA
This 1563-nucleotide ribosomal RNA is filed under the name Eremias multiocellata. RNAcentral's name for it is "16S ribosomal RNA". It matches the Rfam family "Bacterial large subunit ribosomal RNA", at positions 436 to 2872 of the family's 2925-position model. Lineage: Eukaryota; Metazoa; Chordata; Lepidosauria; Squamata; Lacertidae. The record is from RNAcentral.